RNAcentral lists this unclassified non-coding RNA (239 nucleotides) under Hevea brasiliensis (rubber tree). Lineage: Eukaryota; Viridiplantae; Streptophyta; Magnoliopsida; Malpighiales; Euphorbiaceae. The record is from RNAcentral.
CCGCCGUCAAGAACGCGACCUUCACGCUGCAAAAGGGCGAACUGACCGGCAUCCUCGGGCCGAACGGCGCCGGGAAGACCACACUGUUCAAUAUGCUCACCGGCUUUAUGGCGCCCACAUCCGGAGCUGUCACAUUCAACGGUGAAGCUGUGCAAGGACUCGCGCCCUACAAGGUCGUCAACCGCGGCAUGGCGCGGACCUUCCAGCUCUGCCGUCCUUUUGUGGGCAUGAACCUGCUG